Molecule: ribosomal RNA, 465 nt
Filed under: Vreelandella stevensii
Lineage: Bacteria; Pseudomonadati; Pseudomonadota; Gammaproteobacteria; Oceanospirillales; Halomonadaceae
Description: partial 16S ribosomal RNA
Rfam family: Bacterial small subunit ribosomal RNA
Source: RNAcentral
CCUACGGGGUGCUGCAGUGGGGAAUAUUGGACAAUGGGCGAAAGCCUGAUCCAGCCAUGCCGCGUGUGUGAAGAAGGCCUUCGGGUUGUAAAGCACUUUCAGUGGGGAAGAAAGCCUUGGGGCUAAUACCCUCGAGGAAGGACAUCACCCACAGAAGAAGCACCGGCUAACUCCGUGCCAGCAGCCGCGGUAAUACGGAGGGUGCGAGCGUUAAUCGGAAUUUCUGGGCGUAAAGCGCGCGUAGGCGGUCUGAUAAGCCGGUUGUGAAAGCCCCGGGCUCAACCUGGGAACGGCAUCCGGAACUGUCAGGCUAGAGUGCAGGAGAGGAAGGUAGAAUUCCCGGUGUAGCGGUGAAAUGCGUAGAGAUCGGGAGGAAUACCAGUGGCGAAGGCGGCCUUCUGGACUGACACUGACGCUGAGGUGCGAAAGCGUGGGUAGCAAACAGGAUUAGAUACCCCUGUAGUC